UACGUAGGGGGCAAGCGUUACUCGGAAUCACUGGGCGUAAAGGGUGCGUAGGCGGGUAUGUAAGUCUGUUGUGAAAUACCGCAGCUUAACUGCGGUGCUGCGACGGAAACUGCAUAUCUGGAGUCCCGGAGAGGCAGACGGAAUUCCCGGUGUAGCGGUGAAGUGCGCAGAUAUCGGGAGGAACACCGAUGGCGAAGGCAGUCUGCUGGACGGAGACUGACGCUGAGGCACGAAAGCGUGGGGAGCAAACAGG
This 253-nucleotide ribosomal RNA is filed under the name uncultured bacterium. Its description in RNAcentral is "partial 16S ribosomal RNA". It matches the Rfam family "Bacterial small subunit ribosomal RNA", at positions 524 to 776 of the family's 1533-position model. The record is from RNAcentral.